Molecule: ribosomal RNA, 471 nt
Filed under: Triticum aestivum (bread wheat)
Lineage: Eukaryota; Viridiplantae; Streptophyta; Magnoliopsida; Poales; Poaceae
Description: partial small subunit ribosomal RNA
Source: RNAcentral
AUGCGGACUGUUUCUGAUGGGCUCCAGGCUAACGCUUGGGCUCGUGACAUCGAGGGCACGCUGGGCGUCCACGAGAUCGGCCAGUAUAUACGGCUCUGGCACGCUGUCGAGCGCAUUACCCUGACCACGAAGCCUGAUUGACUCCUCUGGAAAUGGACUACGGGCGGAUCCUACUCUGCAAAGUCCUGCUACAAGGCCACCUUCCAGGGUUCAAUCCAUAGUGAGUCUUAGAAAUUUGUUUGGAAGAACUGGGCGCCCCCUCGGGUACGUUUCUUUCACUGGCUCGCCAAUCAGGACAGAUGUUGGACCACCGACCGCCUGGCACGCCGAGGACUGCAACACCACACCUCAUGCCUCCUUUGCACUGGCUCGCCGAUCAGGACAGAUGUUGGACCACCGACCGCCUGGCACGCCGAGGACUGUAACACCACACCUGAUGCCUGCUUUGAUGCCAGAGCACCGAGAAGAUGA